This is a long non-coding RNA of Nomascus leucogenys (northern white-cheeked gibbon), 637 nucleotides long. RefSeq lists it as uncharacterized. The transcript has 4 exons. The record is from RefSeq and is a predicted model, not a curated record. NCBI's taxonomy places the organism in Eukaryota, Metazoa, Chordata, Mammalia, Primates, Hylobatidae.
GUUAGAGUUACUCGUUAUUGGUAAAUAGCCAACUAUGGAGACUAAGGACCAGAAGAAACACAGAAAAACAGUGGACCCAAAGAUGAAAAGAAAAAGAAGUGGCAUCUGCAGGAUCUUCAGCUAGGAGACGAAGAAGAUGCCCGGAAGAGAAAUCCCAACGCUUUUGCAGUUCAGUCUGCUGUGUGGAUGGCUCGAUCCUUUCACAGAACUCAGGAUUUGAAGACCAAAAAAACAUCAUCUUCCAGUGGUUGAUCGAACUCCACUAGAGCCCCCGCCAAUAGUGGUAGUGGUGAUGGGGCCUCCAGAGUUGGAAGGAGCACUUUGAUAUAAUGCCUCAUUCGGAACUUCACCUGGCAGAAAUUGACUGGGAUCAGAGGCCCUGUGACAAUCGUGUCAGGUUGAAAGCACAGACUCACCAUUAUUGAAUGCAGGUGUGACAUUAACAUGAUGAUCUAUCUGGCUAAAGUAGCAGAUCUGGUACUGAUGCUUAUAGAUGCCAGCUUUGGGUUUGAAAUGGUAACAUUUGAGUUUCUAAACAUCUGUGAAGUACAUGGCUUUCCUAAAAUUAUGGGAGUUCUCACUAACCUCGACUCCUUCAAGCAUAAUAAGCAACUGAAGAAGACAAAGAAGCGAUUAA